UCUUGGUGGUGACUUUAGACAAAUACUUCCAGUCAUUCCAAAAGGUACUAGACAAGAUAUUGUUAAUGCUACCCUUAAUUCUUCAUAUUUGUGGAAUCACUGUCAAGUCUUAAAGCUAACAAAAAAUAUGAGGUUGGAAGGAAAUCAGGUGGAUUCACAUUUGAAUGAUCUAAGAUAAUUUUCUGAUUGGAUUUUAGCAAUAGGUGAUGGUAUAAUUGGAAAUUCUGUUGAUGGUAUCGAUAAAGUUCACAUCCCUGGUGAUCUUAUCAUCAAUAAUUGUGACGAUUCAAUUUGUGCGAUUGUGGAAAGUACAUAUCCGGAUUUUUUAAGUCAUUGCAGUGAUAUAACAUACCUGCAACAAAGAGGAAUUCUUGCUCCCACUCUUGAUAUGGUUGAAUCAAUCAACGAAUACAUGGUUUCGGUAAACAAUAGUCAACCAAAAAUAUUUUUUAGUUCUGAUACAAUUUGCAUGUCAGACGAUGCUUUUACAGGUUUGGAACACGUACAUACACCUGAAUUUCUAAACACUAUUAAGUGUUCUGGAAUUCCAAAUCAUGUUAUCACUUUGAAAGUGGGUGUCCCAGUGAUGUUAUUGAGAAAUAUAGACCCAUCUUCAGGGCUAUGUAAUAGAACAAGAUUAAUCAUCACUAGACUGGGAAAUCGGGUUAUUGAAGCAAAAAUUUUAUCGGGAAAUAUGGCUGGACAAAAGGUCUUCAUUCCGAGAAUGUCAUUAACUCCAUCUGAUGCAAGAAUACCUUUUAAGUUCCAACAAAGACAAUUUCCAAUAGUUGUAUCAUUUGCAAUGACGAUAAACAAAAGUCAAGGACAAUCUUUAUCGCAUGUUGGGUUAUAUUUGAAAAAAUCGGUGUUCACACAUGGCCAGCUUUACGUUGCUCUAUCACGGGUUACAAAAAGAAAGGGAUUAAAGAUUUUGGUUUAUGACGAUGAUGGAGAAAUUUCAAAUGAAGCGAUAAAUGUGGUUUAUAAAGAGGUUUUCCGUAAUUUACUUGGAUAAUGAAAGGAAAUCUGAUACCUUUUAGCCAACUUUUUGUUCUCAUGCAUCUGUCUUUUGGAAAACCAUAUUGCAAAUAAUCUUCAGAAACAAUACUUGCCAACUUCAAUAGUUGCUGCUGUGAAAGUUAUUAAUACUCGAUCAUGUGCCGGAAACAAACUUCCAAAGCAGGCAUGUCAUUUAGCUUCCUCGACUAUGCAUCUCGGUUCAAUUUAAACAAGAGCAAUUGUAAUUGUA
This is a non-coding RNA of Nicotiana tabacum (common tobacco), 1249 nucleotides long. The record is from RefSeq and is a predicted model, not a curated record. Lineage: Eukaryota; Viridiplantae; Streptophyta; Magnoliopsida; Solanales; Solanaceae.